CUGUAUGGCUGGGAAAGCUUUGUCUCUGCAAUCAUGCUACAUACAUAAAUCUGAAGUAUUUUGAGAAUGAAGAGAAUAUUAACAACUGAGUAGGAAGGUAUAGUGAAGUCAGGAGAGAAGGUGCAGAAGGGUUGAGAUGUGAUAUUCUGGAAGGCAAAGAACCUAAAAUUAUAGCAAAGAAUAAUUCACUCAACAAAUCUAAGUAUAAUCCUUCAGGGGAAAAAGAUUAAAUGAAAUAGAGAACUUUCAAGCAACAGAAAUGAAGAGAAAUUUUCAAUUUAAAGAGAAGUCACAAGAAAAGCAUAAGUGACUCUGGGAAAGUCUGGAAGGAAGGAGAGAAUUU
Long non-coding RNA from Sarcophilus harrisii (Tasmanian devil), 343 nucleotides. RefSeq lists it as uncharacterized. The record is from RefSeq and is a predicted model, not a curated record. The transcript is spliced from 3 exons. Lineage: Eukaryota; Metazoa; Chordata; Mammalia; Dasyuromorphia; Dasyuridae.